UACAGAGGUCUCAAGCGUUGUUCGGAUUCAUUGGGCGUAAAGGGUGCGUAGGCGGCGCGGUAAGUCGGGUGUGAAAUCUCGGAGCUUAACUCCGAAACUGCAUUCGAUACUGCCGUGCUUGAGGACUGGAGAGGAGACUGGAAUUUACGGUGUAGCGGUGAAAUGCGUAGAUAUCGUAAGGAAGACCAGUGGCGAAGGCGGCUCUCUGGGACGGUACUGACGCUGAGACGCGAAAGCCAGGGGAGCAAACGGG
Molecule: ribosomal RNA, 253 nt
Filed under: uncultured bacterium
Lineage: Bacteria
Description: partial 16S ribosomal RNA
Rfam family: Bacterial small subunit ribosomal RNA
Source: RNAcentral